CAUUGACUCUUAAACACAAGAAUUCUUCUUGCACUAUUUUGCUGCAUUUUGCACAAUUCAUGUGAUCGGAGGUGGACACACAAGCCUUCAAGCUCAAAUUUUGAUGACAAUGGUUCUUCAAAACCCACCCUUUUUUUUGUUGGUUUAUUGAUAACUCGUGAUGUGCAGCAAGAACAAAUGGGAGAACCAGUGAUAGACUGGGUUGGGUAUUCGGGACCAUGCAACACUUUAUUUGGGCAAUGAAUGGUGUUAGAUAUCACAAAAUGGACUGGGUCAUGGAUUAUGUGUUACUCUGAAAUAAGGAAACCAAACAGAAAUCAAUU
Pelobates cultripes (western spadefoot toad) is the source of this 323-nucleotide non-coding RNA. The record is from the annotation of a GenBank genome assembly. Lineage: Eukaryota; Metazoa; Chordata; Amphibia; Anura; Pelobatidae.